UACGUAGGCAGCAAGCGUUGUUCGGAAUUACUGGGCGUAAAGAGUGUGUAGGCGGUGCUCUAAGUUCGGUGUGAAAUCUCCCGGCUCAACUGGGAGGGUGCGCCGGAAACUGGGGGUGCUGGAGCGCGGGGAGAGGAAAGCGGAAUUCCUGGUGUAGCGGUGAAAUGCGUAGAUAUCAGGAGGAACACCGGCGGUGUAGACGGCUUUCUGGACCGUAGCUGACGCUGAGACACGAAAGCGUGGGUAGCAAACAGG
RNAcentral lists this ribosomal RNA (255 nucleotides) under uncultured bacterium. Its description in RNAcentral is "partial 16S ribosomal RNA". It matches the Rfam family "Bacterial small subunit ribosomal RNA", at positions 524 to 776 of the family's 1533-position model. The record is from RNAcentral.